This 1499-nucleotide long non-coding RNA is filed under the name Mus musculus (house mouse). Its description in RNAcentral is "long non-coding RNA chr6:132274990-132276489". Lineage: Eukaryota; Metazoa; Chordata; Mammalia; Rodentia; Muridae. The record is from RNAcentral.
GCAUUAGCAGCAGCCUGUUCGUUUGCAAAUUCAAUAAGAAAGGCUUUCCAAUCUAAAUACUGCCCAGGUGAAAAGCAUGCCUUCACCAAGCCUGCCUAAUCGGAAGGCGUCAUGCAGUGUCUAUUCAAGGCCUCUACCUCAGCCACAGUAUAGAAAGCACUCAGGCCGUAUGUCCGCACGGACUCAGCCAAAUUCUUAAUUACCUUGAAAUCCAGAGGCUCAUGAUAUCUCUGCCCUGUUUGGUCAGUGAAAACAGGACAUCCUAGCAAGGAGAGCCUAACUUCUUUCCAGACCUCCGGGCAGAAGGUCCGCCCAUAACCGGCUGACGAGGAGGCAUACAGAGGUGGAGCAAAAGCUAAUUCGACUUCCUCCUCCACCUCAGCACUUUUACUUUGUCCUUUCUGUCCAACUGAUAACACUGUGUCUCCUUUCUUUUUCCUUUUUCUUUUUAAGCCCUUCUCCUCUUCCGACAUACUUUCUUGUUGCUCUAUAAGGAUUUUCUGACCUAUCUUGACUGCCUCUACACACAAUUUCAAACAGUAACAGAGUCCAUAUGUCAGAACAAAUAAGACCAAAACUAUCAGACCUACCCACAAAGGGUCAAUGGGAGAAAAAAGCAUAACUACUCAGCGAGGAUCUCUUGAUCACUACACUGAGGUUAUCAUAGUUCCUUAACUUGUCCCCAAACCGGGAACCUUAACUUGUCCCAAAGCAGGGAACCUUUCGCUACCUUGUGCCUGCUUCCUGGCAACUUUAUGCUUGCCUCUAUUUUAUCCAAGGUCCUUCCCAAAUUCCUGGGUUACUUUGUGUCUACUUCCUGGCAACUUUAUGCUCACCUCUAUUUUAUCCGAGUUCCUUCCCAAACUCCUGGGGUCGCAAGUUUCACUCACCGUGAACUUACCCUGCUGGCAACCACUGACUGCUGAAAGUUCUGAACUCGGUGGGGGAGUCGGUUCCCUGUAUGGGCCACCAAUUGUCGCGCCCGCUCUCGACCAGCAAGAAAGACGCGACCACCAGUCAUUCUAACAGCAGUUUAUUCAGUCCUGAUUCUUCUUGUUUAUAUCUCCCCCGAACCCUGGGCCUCUCACUCCUUUUAUACUCUCUCUCAUCCACGCACAGCAGGCCACGCCCCCUCGCCAGUCACGAGGCUUCAGCUAAUCAGGGCAGCAGGGGCAAAUCUCCACCAAAUUGAAUUCACCUGUAUCCUGGUACACCUGCGCAGCACUCAAGAUGUUUGUGUCUUAUAUGAGGAAGUCAGGUGCAAGUCAUAUGACUUAGCUGCAGUCCCUGGCGCCUUUGGGACUGCCACCACACCCGCUCCCCACACAUCUAUGGUAAUUGAAAGUUUGGCUGGGUGUAGAAGCCUGGGUUGGUAUUUGUGUUCUCUUAGUGUCUGUAUAACAUCUGCCCAGGCUCUUCUGGCUUUCAUAAUCUCUGGAAAAAAUCUGGUAUAAUUCUGAUAGGCUAGCCUUUAUAUGUUACUUGACCUUUUUUCCCUU